CAUUCACGCGUUACUCACCCGUCCGAAGGGGGAAUUCGCGGCCGCUAAAUUCAAUUCGCCCUAUAGUGAGUCGUAUUAAGAGAGGAAAUGGUCAGCCGCUACAGGAUGGCCUCGCGGCCUAUCAGCUAGUUGGUGGGGUAACGGCCUACCAAGGCGACGACGGGUAGCUGGCGUGAGAGCGCGAACAGCCACACUGGGACUGAGACACGGCCCAGACUCCUACGGGAGGCAGCAGUGGGGAAUCUUGCGCAAUGGGCGAAAGCCUGACGCAGCGACGCCGCGUGCGGGAAGAAGGCCUUCGGGUUGUAAACCGCUUUUAGGAGGGAAGAAGCGAAAGUGACGGUACCUCCAGAAGAGGGACCGGCCAACUACGUGCCAGCAGCCGCGGUAAUACGUAGGGUCCAAGCGUUGUCCGGAAUUAUUGGGCGUAAAGAGCUCGUAGGCGGUCCGUUAAGUCGAAUGUGAAAUCUCAGGGCUCAACCCUGAAAUCGCAUUCGAUACUGGCGGACUUGAGGCAGGUAGGGGAAGGUGGAAUUCCUGGUGUAGCGGUGAAAUGCGCAGAUAUCAGGAGGAACACCGGUGGCGAAGGCGGCCUUCUGGGCCUGUACUGACGCUGAGGAGCGAAAGCGUGGGGAGCAAAGGGAUUAGAUACCCCUGUAG
Molecule: ribosomal RNA, 660 nt
Filed under: uncultured Euzebyales bacterium
Lineage: Bacteria; Bacillati; Actinomycetota; Nitriliruptoria; Euzebyales
Description: bacterial SSU rRNA
Rfam family: Bacterial small subunit ribosomal RNA
Source: RNAcentral